UGAAGAUGAAGCUUUUCCUUAUAUGGCUCUUAUUGCUCUGGUGUUUACUCGACCAUGAUUUUAUCUGUGUUGUUUCAAAUGGAGUCUCUGUGUCAGUGAUGGAGGGAGAUUCAAUCACUCUAAACACUGGGGUUGAAAUAAAACAAGAAGAUAUAAAAUGGUAUUUUAAUGAUAUUUGCAUUGCUCAGAACAGCGGAGAUCAGA
Molecule: long non-coding RNA, 204 nt
Organism: Rhinichthys klamathensis goyatoka
Lineage: Eukaryota; Metazoa; Chordata; Actinopteri; Cypriniformes; Leuciscidae
Exons: 2
Source: RefSeq, a predicted model, not a curated record